GACGAACGCUGGCGGCGUGCUUAACACAUGCAAGUCGAACGGAAAGGCCUUUUCGGCGGUACUCGAGUGGCGAACGGGUGAGUAACACGUGGGUGAUCUGCCCUGCACUCUGGGAUAAGCCUGGGAAACUGGGUCUAAUACCGGAUAGGACCGCACUUUAGUGUGUGUGGUGGAAAGUUUUUUCGGUGUAGGAUGAGCCCGCGGCCUAUCAGCUUGUUGGUGGGGUAAUGGCCUACCAAGGCGGCGACGGGUAGCCGGACUGAGAGGUUGGUCGGCCACAUUGGGACUGAGAUACGGCCCAGACUCCUACGGGAGGCAGCAGUGGGGAAUAUUGCACAAUGGGCGCAAGCCUGAUGCAGCGACGCCGCGUGGGGGAUGACGGCCUUCGGGUUGUAAACUCCUUUCGCCAGGGACGAAGCGUUUUGUGACGGUACCUGGGGAAGAAGCACCGGCUAACUACGUG
Molecule: ribosomal RNA, 463 nt
Filed under: uncultured bacterium
Lineage: Bacteria
Description: partial 16S ribosomal RNA
Rfam family: Bacterial small subunit ribosomal RNA
Source: RNAcentral